AUGGUGGCCGUUAUUGCCCAUACACCGUGGGUACCGGUGAACACGCCAUAAAGACAGUACUGAAGGAGUCCAUCGCGGUGAUCUCCCCGUCCUCCUCCGCUGCAAAGUGAGAGUCUAUUUUAGGCUUUGAGUUGCUGGCUGAAAUACUCAAUAACAUAGAACACGUUUGUUUGUAUGUUUCAAGAGAUUCCCAUAAAACCAGACUUGAAAGCAUUCUGGAGGUUAAUUUUCAGAAAAUAUCAUCUAGGAAAAGCAACCGUGCCUGCGUCACAGCCUGUUUUCGGUGGGUCUUGAAGCCACGGCGUUGGAUCCGAUUGGGAGACAACUCACUCCGCUCUCAAUGGUAAUCCUGAGGAUUCAGGUAGAUCAGUGGAGUUCUGCAAAAUUCUUCCACCAUUACCAGUCCAAAUCUCCCGUCUUCAGGAAACCUAAAAUUAAAUUCCCAAAGCAAUGGUGAAAUGACACGAACACCUGCGUCCCAUCGCCAUUAGAAGUCGUCGCCCUUGCCUGGAGAGAGCCACCGCUGAGCGCAAUCAUCCUUGUGGCCAACAGGAGGCGCUAGUCUGCAUUUUGGGCAGCUGUCGGUAAUGGAGCAAAAGACGGGUGUUAAUUUCUUUCCUCCUCCGUGUGUUUCUCUCAACAAACCAGUACUGACCGCUGCCACCGGGCGUUCUGGCUCCUGCUGUGGGCUUGCCCGACACAUUAUCAGUGGGUCUGAUUGGUUGUAAGACUGGGCAAACGAGGCUGACUUCAUGGGAAAGCUACACCAGAGUCCAGAUUUUAGGGCAUCACCCCUAAGCAAUCCAGGCUUCAACUUGGGUCCCCAAAGGAUGUUUGAGAAUCGAGGUCACAGGCAGACAAAAUGAGGGGGAUGGAGACAGACUUUGAAUCACAGAUCCAUCUUUCGGAGAUUUUCCUCCUUUUAUGCGCCGCGGGAGAGAACAGGAACCCAGCCCCAGAACUGCAGUAUCGGGGAGCGUCGCUAAAAUUCGGCACAGCCAGGCUGGGGAAACACUCUGCCCGCUCCGCGAGGGCCAUCUUGCCACCUUCAAUCGAGCACCAAGGAGACAGAGAUGAUAAUAAAGGAAAAUUUAUUUGGGAAAAAUGAACCACAUUUAUUUUUUGAGGCACCUAAAAGACUAGAAAUAAAUUGUGAGUGAUGGUCCACAUUUAUUCUCUUUUAUUAUCAUUAUUAUUCAGAGCGGCCUGCCUCACGCUGAUUACACCCUUUUCACAACAGGCCCCAAGACAAUUCGUCUCCCUUUGUCACGGCCAAGGCCCUUUUUCCCCUUUGCUAGAGUUUAAAAGGACAAACUAUGGACUCUUAAGGCCUGGGUGUUGGAGGGUGCCAAGGAAAUGACACAGGCCAUUAUUUCUAGACUCUUGAAAUGGCGUUUCCCGAAUUUCAGUGUAUUUCAUGACAAACACACCAGGUUCCAGGAACAGCACGUCAUUACGGUGUGAUGCUAAAAUCACUUCGGCCUAAGCUAAAGGGAAAGCCGAUAAUCAGAAGCAGUGUGCUGCAGGGAGGGGCGCCUGGGUGGCUCAGUCGGUUGAGGAGCUGGCUCUUGAUUUCGGCUCAGGUCACGAUCUCACGGUCGUGAGAUCGAGCCCCGCGUCGGGAUCCGUGCUCAGGGUGGAGCC
Long non-coding RNA from Felis catus (domestic cat), 1644 nucleotides. RefSeq lists it as uncharacterized. The record is from RefSeq and is a predicted model, not a curated record. Lineage: Eukaryota; Metazoa; Chordata; Mammalia; Carnivora; Felidae. The transcript has 3 exons.